RNAcentral lists this ribosomal RNA (216 nucleotides) under uncultured prokaryote. Its description in RNAcentral is "partial 16S ribosomal RNA". It matches the Rfam family "Bacterial small subunit ribosomal RNA", at positions 525 to 739 of the family's 1533-position model. The record is from RNAcentral.
ACGUAGGUGGCAAGCGUUGUCCGGAAUUAUUGGGCGUAAAGCGCGCGCAGGCGGUCCUUUAAGUCUGAUGUGAAAGCCCACGGCUCAACCGUGGAGGGUCAUUGGAAACUGGGGGGACUUGAGUGCAGAAGAGGAAAGUGGAAUUCCACGUGUAGCGGUGAAAUGCGUAGAUAUCGGGAGGAACACCUGUGGCGAAAGCGGCUCACUGGACCACAA